Molecule: ribosomal RNA, 369 nt
Filed under: uncultured bacterium
Lineage: Bacteria
Description: bacterial SSU rRNA
Rfam family: Bacterial small subunit ribosomal RNA
Source: RNAcentral
GUAGGGUGCGAGCGUUAAUCGGAAUUACUGGGCGUAAAGCGUGCGCAGGCGGUGAUGUAAGACAGAUGUGAAAUCCCCGGGCUCAACCUGGGAACUGCAUUUGUGACUGCAUCGCUGGAGUGCGGCAGAGGGGGAUGGAAUUCCGCGUGUAGCAGUGAAAUGCGUAGAUAUGCGGAGGAACACCGAUGGCGAAGGCAAUCCCCUGGGCCUGCACUGACGCUCAUGCACGAAAGCGUGGGGAGCAAACAGGACUAGAUACCCUGGUAGUCCACGCCCUAAACGAUGUCAACUGGUUGUUGGUCCUUCACUGGAUCAGUAACGAAGCUAACGCGUGAAGUUGACCGCCUGGGGAGUACGGCCGCAAGGUUG